CAUGAAGUCGGAAUUGCUAGUAAUCGCGGAUCAGCAUGCCGCGGUGAAUACGUUCCCGGGCCUUGUACACACCGCCCGCCACACCAUGGGAGCCGGUAAUACCCGAAGUCAGUAGUCCAACCUCGUGAGGACGCUGCCGAAGGUAGGAUUGGCGACUGGGGUGAAGUCGUAACAAGGUACC
This 181-nucleotide ribosomal RNA is filed under the name uncultured bacterium. RNAcentral's name for it is "partial 16S ribosomal RNA". It matches the Rfam family "Bacterial small subunit ribosomal RNA", at positions 1319 to 1500 of the family's 1533-position model. The record is from RNAcentral.